UGGGGAAUAUUGGGCAAUGGGCGAAAGCCUGACCCAGCAACGCCGCGUGAAGGAAGAAGGUUUUCGGAUUGUAAACUUCUGUCCUCAGGGAAGAAAAAAAUGACGGUACCUGGGGAGGAAGCCCCGGCUAACUACGUGCCAGCAGCCGCGGUAAUACGUAGGGUGCGAGCGUUGUCCGGAAUGACUGGGCGUAAAGGGCGCGUAGCCGGUUUUUUAAGUCUGGAGUGAAAGUCCUGCUUUCAAGGUGGGAAUGGCGUUGGAGACGGGAAGACGUGAGUGCGGAAGAGGUAAGUGGAAGUCCCAGUGUAGCGGUGAAAUGCGUAGAGAUUGGGAAGAACACCAGUGGCGAAGGCGACUUACUGGGCCGUAACUGACGUUGAGGCGCGAAAGCGUGGGGAGCGAACA
RNAcentral lists this ribosomal RNA (405 nucleotides) under uncultured prokaryote. Its description in RNAcentral is "bacterial SSU rRNA". It matches the Rfam family "Bacterial small subunit ribosomal RNA", at positions 355 to 774 of the family's 1533-position model. The record is from RNAcentral.